CCUAGCGGCGGACGGGUGAGUAAUACUUAGGAAUCUGCCUAUUAAUGGGGGACAACAUCUCGAAAGGGAUGCUAAUACCGCAUACGCCCUACGGGGGAAAGCAGGGGAUCACUUGUGACCUUGCGUUAAUAGAUGAGCCUAAGUCGGAUUAGCUAGUUGGUGGGGUAAAGGCCUACCAAGGCGACGAUCUGUAGCGGGUCUGAGAGGAUGAUCCGCCACACUGGGACUGAGACACGGCCCAGACUCCUACGGGAGGCAGCAGUGGGGAAUAUUGGACAAUGGGGGGAACCCUGAUCCAGCCAUGCCGCGUGUGUGAAGAAGGCCUUAUGGUUGUAAAGCACUUUAAGCGAGGAGGAGGCUCUUUUGGUUAAUACCCAAGAUGAGUGGACGUUACUCGCAGAAUAAGCACCGGCUAACUCUGUGCCAGCAGCCGCGGUAAUACAGAGGGUGCGAGCGUUAAUCGGAUUUACUGGGCGUAAAGCGUGCGUAGGCGGCUUUUUAAGUCGGAUGUGAAAUCCCCGAGCUUAACUUGGGAAUUGCAUUCGAUACUGGGAAGCUAGAGUAUGGGAGAGGAUGGUAGAAUUCCAGGUGUAGCGGUGAAAUGCGUAGAGAUCUGGAGGAAUACCGAUGGCGAAGGCAGCCAUCUGGCCUAAUACUGACGCUGAGGUACGAAAGCAUGGGGAGCAAACAGGAUUAGAUACCCUGGUAGUCCAUGCCGUAAACGAUGUCUACUAGCCGUUGGGGUCUUUGAGACUUUAGUGGCGCAGCUAACGCGAUAAGUAGACCGCCUGGGGAGUACGGUCGCAAGACUAAAACUCAAAUGAAUUGACGGGGGCCCGCACAAGCGGUGGAGCAUGGUGGUUUAAUUUCGAUGCAACGCGAAG
This 884-nucleotide ribosomal RNA is filed under the name Acinetobacter sp. S3. RNAcentral's name for it is "bacterial SSU rRNA". It matches the Rfam family "Bacterial small subunit ribosomal RNA", at positions 91 to 966 of the family's 1533-position model. The record is from RNAcentral. Lineage: Bacteria; Pseudomonadati; Pseudomonadota; Gammaproteobacteria; Moraxellales; Moraxellaceae.